RNAcentral lists this ribosomal RNA (438 nucleotides) under uncultured fungus. RNAcentral describes it as "eukaryotic LSU rRNA". The stretch from base 74 to 227 matches the Rfam family "5.8S ribosomal RNA". The record is from RNAcentral. Lineage: Eukaryota; Fungi.
GCGCCCGCCGGUCUCAUCAGAAUCUCUGUUUUCGAACCGACGAUACUUCUGAGUGUUCUUAGCGAACUGUCAAAACUUUUAACAACGGAUCUCUUGGCUCCAGCAUCGAUGAAGAACGCAGCGAAACGCGAUAUGUAAUGUGAAUUGCAGAAUUCAGUGAAUCAUCGAAUCUUUGAACGCACAUGGCGCCUUCCAGUAUCCUGGGAGGCAUGCCUGUCCGAGCGUCGUUUCAACCCUCGAGCCCCUGUGGCCCGGCGUUGGGGAUCUGCCACGGCAGGCCCCUAAAACCAGUGGCGGACCCGAAGGGCCCUCUCCUUUGCGCAGUAGCAUUCGCCUCGCAUCGGGAGUCCUCGGCGUCCUGCUCUAAACCCCCCACAAGCCCGCUUCGGCGGCACCAAGGUUGACCUCGGAUCAGGUAGGAAUACCCGCUGAACUUAA